AUUGAACGCUGGCGGCAGGCUUAACACAUGCAAGUCGAGCGGGGUGAUGGUGCUUGCACUAUCACUUAGCGGCGGACGGGUGAGUAAUGCUUAGGAAUCUGCCUAUUAGUGGGGGACAACAUCUCGAAAGGGAUGCUAAUACCGCAUACGUCCUACGGGAGAAAGCAGGGGAUCACUUGUGACCUUGCGCUAAUAGAUGUGCCUAAGUCGGAUUAGCUAGUUGGUGGGGUAAAGGCCUACCAAGGCGACGAUCUGUAGCGGGUCUGAGAGGAUGCUCCGCCACACUGGGACUGAGACACGGCCCAGACUCCUACGGGAGGUAGCAGUGGGGAAUAUUGGACAAUGGGGGGAACCCUGAUCCAGCCAUGCCGCGUGUGUGAAGAAGGCCUUAUGGUUGUAAAGCACUUUAAGCGAGGAGGAGGCUCUUUUGGUUAAUACCCAAGAUGAGUGGACGUUACUCGCAGAAUAAGCACCGGCUAACUCUGUGCCAGCCGCCGCCGUAA
Molecule: ribosomal RNA, 503 nt
Filed under: uncultured bacterium
Lineage: Bacteria
Description: partial 16S ribosomal RNA
Rfam family: Bacterial small subunit ribosomal RNA
Source: RNAcentral